UACGGGGGGUGCAAGCGUUAUCCGGAUUCACUGGGUUUAAAGGGUGCGUAGGCGGGCAGGUAAGUCAGUGGUGAAAUCCCCGAGCUUAACUUGGAAACUGCCGUUGAUACUAUCUGUCUUGAAUACUAUGGAGGUAAGCGGAAUAUGUCAUGUAGCGGUGAAAUGCUUAGAUAUGACAUAGAACACCAAUUGCGAAGGCGGCUUGCUACACAGUUAUUGACGCUGAGGCACGAAAGCGUGGGGAUCAAACAGG
This 253-nucleotide ribosomal RNA is filed under the name uncultured bacterium. Its description in RNAcentral is "partial 16S ribosomal RNA". It matches the Rfam family "Bacterial small subunit ribosomal RNA", at positions 524 to 776 of the family's 1533-position model. The record is from RNAcentral.